This 293-nucleotide ribosomal RNA is filed under the name uncultured bacterium. RNAcentral's name for it is "partial 16S ribosomal RNA". It matches the Rfam family "Bacterial small subunit ribosomal RNA", at positions 190 to 471 of the family's 1533-position model. The record is from RNAcentral.
GUCCUUACGGGAGAAAGCAGGGGACCUUUCGGGCCUUGCGCUAUCAGAUGAGCUAGUCGGAUNAGCUAGUUGGUGAGGUAAUGGCUCACCAAGGCGACGAUCCCGUAACUGGUCUGAGAGGAUGAUCAGUCACACUGGAAUUGAGACACGGUCCAGACUCNUACGGGAGGCAGCAGUGGGGAAUAUUGGACAAUGGGCGAAAGCCUGAUCCAGCCAUGCCGCGUGUGUGAAGAAGGUCUUCGGAUUGUAAAGCACUUUAAGUUGGGAGGAAGGGCAUUAACCUAAUACGUUAG